CCUACGGGGUGCAGCAGUGAGGAAUAUUGGUCAAUGGACGAGAGUCUGAACCAGCCAAGUAGCGUGAAGGAUGACUGCCCUAUGGGUUGUAAACUUCUUUUAUAUGGGAAUAAAAUGUUCCACGUGUGGGAUUUUGUAUGUACCAUAUGAAUAAGGAUCGGCUAACUCCGUGCCAGCAGCCGCGGUAAUACGGAGGAUCCGAGCGUUAUCCGGAUUUAUUGGGUUUAAAGGGAGCGUAGGUGGAUUGUUAAGUCAGUUGUGAAAGUUUGCGGCUCAACCGUAAAAUUGCAGUUGAAACUGGCAGUCUUGAGUACAGUAGAGUUAGGCGGAAUUCGUGGUGUAGCGGUGAAAUGCUUAGAUAUCACGAAGAACUCAGAUUGCGAAGGCAGUUCACUGGACUGCAACUGACACUGAGGCUCGAAAGUGUGGGUAUCAAACAGGAUUAGAUACCCUUUAGUC
This 459-nucleotide ribosomal RNA is filed under the name uncultured bacterium. Its description in RNAcentral is "partial 16S ribosomal RNA". It matches the Rfam family "Bacterial small subunit ribosomal RNA", at positions 338 to 795 of the family's 1533-position model. The record is from RNAcentral.